This 384-nucleotide ribosomal RNA is filed under the name uncultured bacterium. Its description in RNAcentral is "bacterial SSU rRNA". It matches the Rfam family "Bacterial small subunit ribosomal RNA", at positions 28 to 431 of the family's 1533-position model. The record is from RNAcentral.
GACGAACGCUGGCGGCGUGCUUAACACAUGCAAGUCGAGCGGUAAGGCCCUUUCGGGGGUACACGAGCGGCGAACGGGUGAGUAACACGUGGGAACGUACCUUUUGGUUCGGAACAACACAGGGAAACUUGUGCUAAUACCGGAUAAGCCCUUACGGGGAAAGAUUUAUCGCCAAAAGAUCGGCCCGCGUCUGAUUAGCUUGUUGGUGAGGUAACGGCUCACCAAGGCGACGAUCAGUAGCUGGUCUGAGAGGAUGAUCAGCCACACUGGGACUGAGACACGGCCCAGACUCCUACGGGAGGCAGCAGUGGGGAAUAUUGGACAAUGGCGAAAGCCUGAUCCAGCCAUGCCGCGUGAGUGAUGAAGGCCCUAGGGUUGUAAAGC